This 1613-nucleotide ribosomal RNA is filed under the name Gammaproteobacteria bacterium. Its description in RNAcentral is "partial 23S ribosomal RNA". It matches the Rfam family "Bacterial large subunit ribosomal RNA", at positions 1370 to 2925 of the family's 2925-position model. The record is from RNAcentral. Lineage: Bacteria; Pseudomonadati; Pseudomonadota; Gammaproteobacteria.
CGGCGCAGGGUGAGUCGGCCCCUAAGGCGAGGCCGAAAGGCGUAGUCGAUGGGAAGCAGGUUAACAUUCCUGCACCGAUCGGAGCUGCGAUGGGGUGACGAAGAAGGCUAGGCUGGCCUGGCGAUGGUGUCCAUUUUCGGAUGGCGGCCAGGUUUAAGCACGUAGGCUGGGGUCUUAGGCAAAUCCGGGACCUCAAGGCUGAGAUGUGAUGACGAACCGCUCCUAUACGAGCGGGAAGUGGUUGAUGCCCUGCUUCCAGGAAAAACCUCUAAGCUUUAAGGCUGCGAACGACCGUACCCUAAACCGACACAGGUGGUCGGGUAGAGAAUACCAAGGCGCUUGAGAGAACUCGGGUGAAGGAACUAGGCAAAAUGGCACCGUAACUUCGGGAGAAGGUGCGCCGCCGGCGGUGACGGGACUUGCUCCCUGAGCGGCAGGCGGUCGAAGAUACCAGGUGGCUGCGACUGUUUAUUAAAAACACAGCACUCUGCAAACUCGUAAGAGGACGUAUAGGGUGUGACGCCUGCCCGGUGCCGGAAGGUUAAUUGAUUGGGUUAGCGCUCGGACUUGUCCGUUCGCGAAGCUCAUGAUCGAAGCCCCGGUAAACGGCGGCCGUAACUAUAACGGUCCUAAGGUAGCGAAAUUCCUUGUCGGGUAAGUUCCGACCUGCACGAAUGGCGUAACGAUGGCCACACUGUCUCCACCCGAGACUCAGUGAAAUUGAAAUCGCGGUGAAGAUGCCGUGUACCCGCGGCUAGACGGAAAGACCCCGUGAACCUUUACUAUAGCUUCGCACUGGACUUUGACUUGGUUUGUGUAGGAUAGGUGGGAGACUUUGAAGCGGAGGCGCUAGCCUUCGUGGAGUCGUCCUUGAAAUACCACCCUGGCCAAUUUGGGGUUCUAACUCAGGUCCAUGAUCUGGAUCGAGGACAGUGUGUGGUGGGUAGUUUGACUGGGGCGGUCUCCUCCCAAAGAGUAACGGAGGAGCACGAAGGUACACUCAGCAUGGUCGGAAAUCAUGCAGUGCGUGUAAAGGCAGAAGUGUGCUUGACUGCGAGGCUGACGGGCCGAGCAGGGUCGAAAGACGGUCUUAGUGAUCCGGUGGUUCUGUAUGGAAGGGCCAUCGCUCAACGGAUAAAAGGUACUCCGGGGAUAACAGGCUGAUACCGCCCAAGAGUUCACAUCGACGGCGGUGUUUGGCACCUCGAUGUCGGCUCAUCACAUCCUGGGGCUGUAGCCGGUCCCAAGGGUAUGGCUGUUCGCCAUUUAAAGUGGUACGCGAGCUGGGUUUAGAACGUCGUGAGACAGUUCGGUCCCUAUCUGCCGUGGGCGUUGGAAACUUGAGGGGAGCUUCUCCUAGUACGAGAGGACCGGAGUGGACGUACCUCUGGUGUUCCGGUUGUCACGCCAGUGGCAUUGCCGGGUAGCUAUGUUCGGACGGGAUAACCGCUGAAAGCAUCUAAGCGGGAAGCCCACCUCAAGAUGAGAUCUCACCAAAUCAUUCCGAUUUCUGAAGGGCCCUCGAAGACUACGAGGUUGAUAGGCAGGGUGUGUAAGCGCUGCGAGGCGUUGAGCUAACCUGUACUAAUUGCCCGUGCGGCUUGACCAUAUAA